Molecule: non-coding RNA, 29 nt
Filed under: Mus musculus (house mouse)
Lineage: Eukaryota; Metazoa; Chordata; Mammalia; Rodentia; Muridae
Source: RNAcentral
UAAGACAGACUGGCUGAGGCUGCUAGGUA